AUUGAACGCUGGCGGCAGGCCUAACACAUGCAAGUCGAACGGUAGCACAGAGAGCUUGCUCUCGGGUGACGAGUGGCGGACGGGUGAGUAACGUCUGGGAAACUGCCCGGUGGAGGGGGAUAACUACUGGAAACGGUAGCUAAUACCGCAUAACGUCGCAAGACCAAAGUGGGGGACCUUCGGGCCUCACACCAUCGGAUGUGCCCAGAUGGGAUUAGCUAGUAGGUGGGGUAAUGGCUCACCUAGGCGGCGAUCCCUAGCUGGUCUGAGAGGAUGACCAGCCACACUGGAACUGAGACACGGUCCAGACUCCUACGGGAGGCAGCAGUGGGGAAUAUUGCACAAUGGGCGCAAGCCUGAUGCAGCCAUGCCGCGUGUAUGAAGAAGGCCUUCGGGUUGUAAAGUACUUUCAGCGGGGAGGAAGGCGGUGAAGUUAAUAGCUUCACCGAUUGACGUUACCCGCAGAAGAAGCACCGGCUAACUCCGUGCCAGCCGCCGCAGUAA
RNAcentral lists this ribosomal RNA (504 nucleotides) under uncultured bacterium. RNAcentral's name for it is "partial 16S ribosomal RNA". It matches the Rfam family "Bacterial small subunit ribosomal RNA", at positions 29 to 523 of the family's 1533-position model. The record is from RNAcentral.